GUGAGGAAUUUUCCGCAAUGGGCGAAAGCCUGACGGAGCAAUGCCGCGUGAAGGAUGAAGGCCUAUGGGUUGGAAACUUCUUUUCUCAGAAAAGAAUUAUGACCGUAUCUGAGGAAUAAGCAUCGGCUAACUCUGUGCCAGCAGCCGCGGUAAGACAGAGGAUGCAAGCGUUAUCCGGAAUGAUUGGGCGUAAAGCGUCUGUAGGUUGUUUAAAAAGUAUUCUGUCAAAGAUUAGGGCUUAACCCUAGAUAGGCAGAAUAAACUUUUAAGCUAGAGUUUGGUAGAGGCAGAGGGAAUUCCCGGUGGAGCGGUGAAAUGCGUAGAUAUCGGGAGGAACACCAAAGGCGAAGGCACUCUGCUGGGCCAAUACUAACACUGAGAGACGAAAGCGAGGGGAGCAAAUGGGAUUAGAAACCCUUGUAGUCC
Molecule: ribosomal RNA, 426 nt
Filed under: uncultured bacterium
Lineage: Bacteria
Description: bacterial SSU rRNA
Rfam family: Bacterial small subunit ribosomal RNA
Source: RNAcentral